AAGUCUUAGUACAAUUUUUACACCAUUAAAAUUGCAUUUUAAUAUCAUUUUUGAAUAUAAGACC
RNAcentral lists this transfer RNA (64 nucleotides) under Deroplatys desiccata. RNAcentral's name for it is "tRNA-Cys". Lineage: Eukaryota; Metazoa; Arthropoda; Insecta; Mantodea; Mantidae. The record is from RNAcentral.